GUGCUGAGAAAGGUCUGAGCGAUGGACUCAUCCAGCCUCUUCAUCUGGCGGGGGCCCCAGAACCACGGGGAAACCUCCACGCCGGACCUCAGAAAACCUGGUUCCUAUUCUGGCCUGUCCCAACAUGGCUGGGGAAAGAAGCCCGUCCCCUCUGUGCCUGUUUUCACAACUGGACGCGUCGUGGAGGGGGACUGGGCCCGGAGCAGGUCUGCCUUGGAGACGGGAUCAGGGGUGAGCCCAGGACGAGCUGCUGCGGCCCUUUGCUCCUCUGGCUGCAAGUCUCCUGGAGACCCUCAGAGUUUAG
Long non-coding RNA from Phyllostomus discolor (pale spear-nosed bat), 304 nucleotides. RefSeq lists it as uncharacterized. The transcript is spliced from 2 exons. Lineage: Eukaryota; Metazoa; Chordata; Mammalia; Chiroptera; Phyllostomidae. The record is from RefSeq and is a predicted model, not a curated record.